GCUUACGCCAUACCACCCUGAACACGCCCGAUCUCGUCGAUCUCGAAGCUAAGCAGGGUCGGCCUGGUUAGUACUUGGAUGGGAGACCGCCGGAAUACCAGGUGCUGUAAGUU
Molecule: ribosomal RNA, 113 nt
Filed under: Labrus bergylta (ballan wrasse)
Lineage: Eukaryota; Metazoa; Chordata; Actinopteri; Labriformes; Labridae
Source: RNAcentral